This 336-nucleotide unclassified non-coding RNA is filed under the name Hevea brasiliensis (rubber tree). Lineage: Eukaryota; Viridiplantae; Streptophyta; Magnoliopsida; Malpighiales; Euphorbiaceae. The record is from RNAcentral.
UGGAGGGCCAAAGCCUUUUGGGCUAUUUAAGGUAGCAUACAGGGGCCAGGAGCGUGAAAAAUGAUAUUGAUUUGGGUAGAAAAUGCGUUUGGAAAUUGGGAAUUUGGAGGCUUGUUUGAUUGGAGCAAGUGAAGAUGUAAAUACUAAGGCUUGUUCAAAGAUCUUGGAAGAAAGUGAUAAUGUGGAGGAUGAUGACCUGAUCAGUUGUGCUUGUGUUGAAGCCAUUAACACAUUCUCUAAAGCUCUGUCUCUCUCCUCAACGAAGCUAACGUCAGUUGCGACAUUGUUAACCGCAACAUGGAACUGAAACCUCCCUUUCUUGCCCUGAAUCCCGAU